UCCUGUGCUGGCUCACCGCCGGAUUCCUCCAACUAAAAAUCCCGACCGUGUCGAUGCGAAGAGCCAGGCCGAGAUGGACAAGGCUUCUGGCGCUCCUCCUCCGCCGCUAUCCCCUGCAUCUGUAAGGUGGGAGAUCCUUCGCCACUCGAUCCUCUCUCGCGCUUCUUCCGGACCUGGCAGAUCUGACCUUCAAGAACUUCUUCAAAGUAUCCCCCGCCAAAAAAAAGCAUAGCGGACGGCUUCUUGUAAUGACAAAAUAUUAGUGUGUGGAGUUUAAAAUUGUCAAGAUGUCUAUUGAUCAUUUCAAAUCUUGCCCAAAUGUUCCAAGGUCUGAAGUCCUAGGCAAUAGCUUUCAUGCCAUUGACACUUCAGCUAUGCUGGCAUGCCCUAAGAGAGAUGAUUCACCGGACAAGUUUCUAGAAAAGAAGAUAAGAGGCUAGAUUGCAAUAUGAAUGAGUUGAGAAUUAAGAAAGCUGAGUAUGGAAUCUUCAUCAGAAUUUCCUAAAAGGUAACAUCUCUUGGCCUAACUAUCACAAAGAUCACUGCUACCCUUUUGGUGAAUAUCACUAUUUCUAAACCUUAGCAACCCUGUCAUUAAACGUUGUCAUGUCAUUUCCAAUGUCAGUACAAGGUUUGUGAUGAAAGUUAUGUUCUUCAUUGUGUCUUUUAUUCAGCAAAACAAGUCUAUUAAAUUUAAGAUUUCUUUUGUAAUAUUUGACUCCUUAUUUUCUUAUUCUUGAUAUGAUUCUUUGUUCAGAUAAGAUCAGCAUGUAAACAUUAUUAUUCGCACCAUAAGCAUGUUAAUUUUGCUUGGCGUGGAUAACAGUAUGAGAUCUCAUCCAGCUGGAAGAGAAAUGUUAGAAAUAUUAAUAUUGGAAUUGCUAUAUUAGGUUCACAUUUCUUAAAAUCUUGUACUGCACAUCGCAUGAGGUACUGAAGUCCUAGUUGUAUGUUGAUGACUCUAUUUCAUGCCAAAGUCGAAUUUAGAGUUCCUUGCUGUUACUUCUAUUGCUGCUUGUAUAUAAAGAGAGGGCAACUCCCAUGCGGUACCUAUAGCUCUUGAUUUAGCUGGAAUCACAAUUUGCCACUCUGGGAAGCUUAGUGUUGUGCCUGUCUGUAAUUCUACUCAUUAUUACAUAUACAUCUUUCUAGAGUA
This is a long non-coding RNA of Elaeis guineensis (African oil palm), 1156 nucleotides long. RefSeq lists it as uncharacterized. Lineage: Eukaryota; Viridiplantae; Streptophyta; Magnoliopsida; Arecales; Arecaceae. The record is from RefSeq and is a predicted model, not a curated record.